This 213-nucleotide ribosomal RNA is filed under the name uncultured bacterium. RNAcentral describes it as "partial 16S ribosomal RNA". It matches the Rfam family "Bacterial small subunit ribosomal RNA", at positions 143 to 353 of the family's 1533-position model. The record is from RNAcentral.
GUAACAGUCAGAAAUGGCUGCUAAUACCGCAUAAGCGCACAGGAUUGCAUGAUCUGGUGUGAAAAACUACCGGUGGUAUAAGAUGGACCCGCGUCUGAUUAGCUGGUUGGUGAGGUAACGGCCCACCAAGGCGACGAUCAGUAGCCGACCUGAGAGGGUGACCGGCCACAUUGGGACUGAGACACGGCCCAAACUCCUACGGGAGGCAGCAUG